This is a non-coding RNA of Doryrhamphus excisus (bluestripe pipefish), 2442 nucleotides long. NCBI's taxonomy places the organism in Eukaryota, Metazoa, Chordata, Actinopteri, Syngnathiformes, Syngnathidae. The record is from RefSeq and is a predicted model, not a curated record.
GAUCGUUAGCCCUCAGACUUCCCAAGGCAAAGGUCGAGGGCGCCAUGUUUUCACGGGAAGACGGUGGAAGACGACAUGGACGGUCGUUUAACAAGGAAAUGCAUCGAUGUGGAGCCAUAUGGCGUCUAAGAAGCAGAUUCCUCUCUGUGUGUAAAGCAGCAGCUUGCACCAACUAAGACGCCUGACUGAGAAGAAUAUUGAAGGACGUUGACGCUCAAGAAUUUGGUCUCAAAAGCUUAGACAAGGGUGGGGGUAUGCUGGAGCCUAUCCCAGCUGACUUCGGGCGAGAGGCGGUGUACACCCUGGACUGGUGGCCAGCCAAUCACAGGGCGCAUAUAGACAAACAACCAUUCACACUCACAUUCAUACCUAUGGACAAUUUGGAGCCGCCAAUUGACCUAGCAUGUUUUUGGAAUGUGGGAGGAAACCGGAGUACCCAGAGAAAACCCACGCACGGGGAGAACAUGCAAAUUCCACAGAGAUGCAACGGAGAAUCGAACCCAGUGUGGCGUGAUCCAGCCUUACUUCAUUCCAUCCAGGGUCUGAUGGAGGAGGCGGGGGUGCCACGACGCCCAUUGAGGACACGUUGAAGCCGAUGGAUUGGCCGAGGUUGCCGGAGACCGCCGCCUGACCCAGGUUAUCUGCGAUGUUCCGCAACAACUGGAAGUCCUCCUCGUCUGAGAGGACACGGGAAGGACUGGCACCUGUGAGGGAGCCGUCCGUGUCCAGUAGUUCGACCUCGUGCUGCCAUCUGAGGCCGGCCUUGUGAGCUGAGUUGAAGAACUGGAUACCUCCAAACCUGACAGCCCAGCCACCGCAGCGAUCCACACACUUCCCGUCGAUUGAAGCUACCCCGAUAGCUGCACAGGUGGCACGAUCAAAAUUGAUGAACUUGGUGCCCAGGACACUCAUUCCGUCAUCCAGUGGCGAGAUGACGCCUCGGUGGGUGCAGUAGUUGUCUCCCAGUCCCAGGGCAUCCAAGUGGCCCACUAUGGUGGAGUUAAACACUCCUGCUCCACCAUUUGGUCCAAACGAGGAAACCAUAGAUCGUAUGAUGCGUUUGCAUUCAAUCCCGGCUUUCUCGUUGUUGACCAUGACAAAGUUUGUGAACUGCACAGCGCCCACGUUGACCCACUCUGCUCCUUUCUCGCAGUUCCAGGUGGUGAGGGACCGGAAGACGGCAGGCUCGGGUGUCUUAGAGCGGCAGCCACCUCCCUCCAUCGGGAAGAAAUCUUGGAAGAUCCAAAGACCAAACCAGCCUUGAGAGUGCACCGUGUUGUUGAAGAACUCACCGAGGGGAACCUUCUUCUGGCAGAUAUUUGGGUCAUAGGACGGGCCGUCAGGGUGCUCAUGCAUGCGGUACCAGAAGCCAAAGUGGGUGCCCCCGGCGGCGGCGUUGUGCCGAAUUAUGUUGUUGGCAUUGGUGACCCAGUAGGCGGCCGGGGUGACGUCGUCGUUGAGCAGGCUGGUGCUCUGCUUGACAAAAACAGCCAGGUUGUACUGCAGGAUGUUCUCCGUCUCGAUGCCGUCCUCAAUGAAGAAGGCCCCCCCCAUGAUGUCAUAGAUGAUGUUGUGCUCCACCAGCAACCGAUGCGUGUUGUGGAUGGUCACGGCCCUGUUGUACGUCUGAUGUAUGGAGCAACCACGCACAUACGACUUGUAUUGCAGGUCUCCCACCAGAUGCCAGUGGAUGGGGUAACGUCCCAGUCUGAAGGCUUGUCCUGCAUUGAAAAGCUGCAAGCGCCACAGAACCAAAGCACGUCAGCUUUAAAGAGCAAAAUGACUGUCACCCUGUGGUUACAGUGAAGUUACUUCAGUGUACGACAGCCUGGCCAUGGCGAGAUUCUCAUUGGGUACAGGGGGGUGGACCAUGAUGCAAGCGCCAAACUGAUCGCUUCCAACCUCCUCUCCAAACCUCCCUUGGAAGCAUGUUUGUGUGGCGAAUUCUCCUGCAUCACACAGGCAGAAGACACCACAGUGAUCAUUAUCAUGUUACUACAGGAUCAUUGUACAGCGAUCAAAGCGCAUUGAUACCUGGGUUAAAACCAUCUGGGCAGGCCUCGACUUUCUCCUGCCAUUCCUCAUGCCGGGAGCCACGCACCACUAUGUUCCUGGUCAGGAGACCCACCUCCGCCCGGGCCUCGAAGGACGUACCGUCCGGCAGGAUAACAGCCACCGAAAGAAGGUGAAAAUGGAGCCAGGAGAAAUCAGUUUUUCAGAUAAAAUAGCUGAUAACUUGCAAAAAGGCCCCAAGGAAGAGAGACAACUCUUCUACCUGUGGCCGGUAGAUGCAAUCACUAUUUCAUCUCCCACUGCCCAAGUCACAGACUUCAUCAGGGUCAGCGUGAAGGAGCCGCUUUCCACCGUCUGAGCCAGGUGGGUCCAGACGACUGGAACUGGUUUACCUGGAGAGGACAGAAAAUGGACAUUGACCGAGGAAUU